RNAcentral lists this transfer RNA (74 nucleotides) under Mycoplasmopsis cynos. Its description in RNAcentral is "tRNA-Trp". It matches the Rfam family "tRNA". From Rfam's summary of the family: Transfer RNA (tRNA) molecules are approximately 80 nucleotides in length. Their secondary structure includes four short double-helical elements and three loops (D, anti-codon, and T loops). Lineage: Bacteria; Bacillati; Mycoplasmatota; Mycoplasmoidales; Metamycoplasmataceae. The record is from RNAcentral.
GGGGGUUUAGUAUAAUGGUAGUAUAACAGUCUCCAAAACUGAAUGUAAGGGUUCGAUUCCUUUAACUCCCGCCA